UUUUCUCUCUUCCUUCCUCUUUUAAUAAAUAAAUAAAUACAUGAAUGAAUUCAUUUAUAUAUUCAUCCAUUUAUUAUUAUUUUUUUCCCAUUCCCCUUAAAUAUGUAUCUUUAAAAAAACACAGGUUUUUUUUUCUCUCCCACGGGCACGUGCUAUGUGCAUCAUUUUUUCUAUCUUUUUUAUUUUACUGUUUAUUUUCGAUUUUAUUUGAUUUCUUCUACUUUUUUUCCUCCUGUAUUUAUGCGUUUAUUUUUCUUUCUCUUCCUUUUUUUCUCCCCUUCCUCUGUUUCUCUCUUCUCUUAGGGUUGGCUUUGGAUUUAACAGUCCAUUAACUGUAACUCUAUAUGUUUUUACCGCGUCCUUAUUUCCCUCUCAAGAGGGAGAGUGGAUGCAGUUGGGAAAAAAAGACAUGUUGCUAACUCCCUGAACUCUGGACUCCAGGUGUAAGGUUUUGCAGUUAAUGACCAUAAACAUGUCGGUCGUUUCGGGCUGAAUGAUAAUUUCCUGUUUACGAGCACUGGUUAACGCAGGUGCUGUGUACAUGCCUGAGGAAGGUCUGGUGAAUUCCCCGUGCUCGAUGAAUCGAUGCUGUAAUCAGAAGCAACCCUGCGGUGGGACGGGAAAAACUUCUGCUGUAAAGAAAGAACAGCAGAGUGAAGUCAGUGACUUGCCUUUCUACAUGACAUUAACCAAAUGAACAAAAUCUGUGUGGGUCUUCAAUACGCCUGCGACAUCAUCAGCGUAACAGUUCUGUAAUUAAACAUGGCUGUCACAGCGAGCUGUUACGUUUAGAAAGACGCAGAAUGUUUGCUACAUCAUCAUCACUUCAAACGUGUUUUCACUGCUGAUCUAAUGCCACGCUAGAACCUCACCCUGUCAGCUGACCGACAAAAUAACUCAAUAACACCUCUUGUUUUCUGUGAGAAAGUGUGUUAGGGUGUCUUGUGAAAGCGUGUCAGAGUGUGUCGUGUGAAAGCGUGUCAGAGUGUGUCGUGUGAGAGUGUGCUGUGUGAAAGUGUGUCGUGUGAAAGUGUGUCAGUGUGUCGUGGUGAAAGUGUGUCGUGCGAUAGUGUGACAGAGUGUGUCGUGUGAAAGUGUGCUGUGUGAAAGUGUGCUGUGUGAAAGUGUGUCGUGUGAAAGUGUGUCAGUGUGUCGUGUGAGAGUGUGCUGUGUGAAAGUGUGUCGUGUGAAAGUGUGUCAGUGUGUCGUGUGAAAGUGUGUCGUGUGAAAGCGUGUCAGAGUGUGUCGUGUGAAAGUGUGCUGUGUGAAAGUGUGUCGUAUGAAAGUGUGACAAAGUGUGUCGUGUGAAAGUGUGCUUGUGAAAGUGUGUCGUAUGAAGUUGUGACAGAGUGUGUCAUAUGAAAGUGUGUCGUGUGAAAGCGUCAGUGUGUCAUGUGAAAGUGUGUCGUGCGAUAGUGUGACAGAGUGUGUCGUGUGAAAGUGUGCUGUGUGAAAGUGUGUCGUAUGAAAGUGUGACAGAGUGUGUCAUAUGAAAGUGUGUCGUGUGAAAGCGUCAGUGUGUCAUGUGAAAGUGUGUCACGUGAAAGCGUGUCAGAGUGUGUCGUGUGAAAGUGUGCUGUGUGAAAGUGUGUCGUAUGAAAGUGUGACAGAGUGUGUCAUAUGAAAGUGUGUCGUGUGAAAGCAUGUCAGAGUGUGUCAUGUGAAAGUGUGUCACGUGAAAGCGUUGUCACAGUGUGUCGUGUGUGAAAGUGUGCUGUGUUGAAAGUGUGUCGUAUGAAAGUGUGACAGAGUGUGUCGUGUGAAAGUGUGUCGUGUGAAAGCGUCAGUGUGUCAUGUGAAAGUGUGUCGUAUGAAAGUGUGACAGAGUGUGUCGUGUGAAAGUGUGCUGUGUGAAACUGUCCUGUGUGAAAGUGUGUCGUGUGAAGUGUGACAGAGUGUGCUGUUUGAAGCGUGUCAGAGCAUGUCGUGUGAAAGUGUGUUAGCGUGUGCCGUGUGAAAGUCUCCUAGAGUGCGUUGUGUGAAAGUGUGUUAGAGAGUCACGCACACUCGCGGCCUGGCUCUGACAGAGCCCCUGUGUGGUUUAUUUAUGUUACGCUGUGAUCUUAAACGCUCGAUGUUCCACCCAGCUGUUUGAGUGUAUACAGAUGUUACGAUGAGAU
Ictalurus punctatus (channel catfish) is the source of this 2120-nucleotide long non-coding RNA. The record is from Ensembl. Lineage: Eukaryota; Metazoa; Chordata; Actinopteri; Siluriformes; Ictaluridae.